This 557-nucleotide ribosomal RNA is filed under the name Octadecabacter sp. I14B-01182. RNAcentral's name for it is "bacterial SSU rRNA". It matches the Rfam family "Bacterial small subunit ribosomal RNA", at positions 95 to 687 of the family's 1533-position model. The record is from RNAcentral. Lineage: Bacteria; Pseudomonadati; Pseudomonadota; Alphaproteobacteria; Rhodobacterales; Roseobacteraceae.
GCGGCGGACGGGUUAGUAACGCGUGGGAACAUACCCUUCUCUAAGGAAUAGCCUCGGGAAACUGAGAGUAAUACCUUAUAAGCCCUUCGGGGGAAAGAUUUAUCGGUGAAGGAUUGGCCCGCGUAAGAUUAGAUAGUUGGUGGGGUAAUGGCCUACCAAGUCUACGAUCUUUAGCUGGUUUGAGAGGAUGAUCAGCAACACUGGGACUGAGACACGGCCCAGACUCCUACGGGAGGCAGCAGUGGGGAAUCUUAGACAAUGGGGGAAACCCUGAUCUAGCGAUGCCGCGUGUGUGACGAAGGCCUUAGGGUCGUAAAGCACUUUCGCCAAGGAUGAUAAUGACAGUACUUGGUAAAGAAACCCCGGCUAACUCCGUGCCAGCAGCCGCGGUAAUACGGAGGGGGUUAGCGUUGUUCGGAAUUACUGGGCGUAAAGCGCACGUAGGCGGAUAUUUAAGUUAGAGGUGAAAUCCCAGGGCUCAACCCUGGAACUGCCUUUAAUACUGGAUGUCUUGAGUUCGAGAGAGGUAAGUGGAAUUCCAAGUGUAGAGGUGAAAU